GGUCUGGUAGUUCAGUUGGUUUAGAAUGCCGCCCUGUCACGGCGGAGGUCGCGAGUUCGAGUCUCGUCCAGACCGCAA
RNAcentral lists this transfer RNA (78 nucleotides) under Bacteroidota bacterium. RNAcentral describes it as "Bacteroidetes bacterium tRNA-Asp". It matches the Rfam family "tRNA". Rfam says of the family: Transfer RNA (tRNA) molecules are approximately 80 nucleotides in length. Their secondary structure includes four short double-helical elements and three loops (D, anti-codon, and T loops). Lineage: Bacteria; Pseudomonadati; Bacteroidota. The record is from RNAcentral.